Molecule: small RNA, 576 nt
Filed under: Cryptococcus sp. NHU-1
Lineage: Eukaryota; Fungi; Basidiomycota; Tremellomycetes; Tremellales; Cryptococcaceae
Description: eukaryotic LSU rRNA
Rfam family: 5.8S ribosomal RNA (bases 156-309)
Source: RNAcentral
AAUGAAUACAGAUGCNUCCUCGAGCUUGCUCACGGGCUUUCUAUCAUAUCCAUAACACCUGUGCACUUGUUGGAUGUCUAGAGACGUAAAGUCGACAGUCAUCCACUUACACUAAACAAUAAUGUAACAAAUGUAGUCUUAUUAUAACAAAAUAAAACUUUCAACAACGGAUCUCUUGGCUCUCGCAUCGAUGAAGAACGCAGCGAAAUGCGAUAAGUAAUGUGAAUUGCAGAAUUCAGUGAAUCAUCGAAUCUUUGAACGCACCUUGCGCUCCUUGGUAUUCCGAGGAGCAUGCCUGUUUGAGUGUCAUGAAAACCCUCAACCUUAGAUUGGUUAUUUGACCUUUCUUUGGCUUGGAUUUGGACGUUUGCCGAUGUCAAGUCGGCUCGUCUUAAAAGUAAUAGCUGGAUCUGUCUCGCGACAUGGUUUGACUUGGCGUAAUAAGUAUUUCGCUAAGGACAUCUUCGGAUGGCCCUGUUGCAGGACUAAAGACCGCUUUCUAAUCCAUUGAUCUUCGGAUUAAUAUUCAUAACAUCUGGCCUCAAAUCAGGUAGGACUACCCGCUGAACUUAAGCA